RNAcentral lists this ribosomal RNA (519 nucleotides) under uncultured Campylobacter sp. Its description in RNAcentral is "bacterial SSU rRNA". It matches the Rfam family "Bacterial small subunit ribosomal RNA", at positions 603 to 1117 of the family's 1533-position model. Lineage: Bacteria; Pseudomonadati; Campylobacterota; Epsilonproteobacteria; Campylobacterales; Campylobacteraceae. The record is from RNAcentral.
UAUGGCUUAACCAUAGAACUGCUUGGGAAACUGAUAAUCUAGAGUGAGGGAGAGGCAGAUGGAAUUGGUGGUGUAGGGGUAAAAUCCGUAGAGAUCACCAGGAAUACCCAUUGCGAAGGCGAUCUGCUGGAACUCAACUGACGCUAAUGCGUGAAAGCGUGGGGAGCAAACAGGAUUAGAUACCCUGGUAGUCCACGCCCUAAACGAUGUAUACUAGUUGUUGCUAAGCUAGUCUUGGCAGUAAUGCACCUAACGGAUUAAGUAUACCGCCUGGGGAGUACGGUCGCAAGAUUAAAACUCAAAGGAAUAGACGGGGACCCGCACAAGCGGUGGAGCAUGUGGUUUAAUUCGAGGAUACGCGAAGAACCUUACCCGGACUUGAUAUCUAACAAAUCAUCUAGAGAUAGAAGAGUGUCUGCUUGCAGAAAUGUUAAGACAGGUGCUGCACGGCUGUCGUCAGCUCGUGUCGUGAGAUGUUGGGUUAAGUCCCGCAACGAGCGCAACCCACGUCAUUAGUUG